UUAGAGUAUAUAGAUAGGUCAGCACAUGGAAAUGUCCAAUUGCAUUCGUAGCUCGGUCAUGAGGAUCAUCUUUGGGAUCCAUACAGUUGUCCAGCAUGGAAUCAUAAGCACCAAUCCAGGGAUAUAUAGAUGUACACAACAGUAAGCACCAAAACUAGACAGUCCAGGAGCAAAGAAAUCAGAGGACCACCAUUUUCUAUUUUACUUUUUCUAACACAUUUUUUGGGGCAUGCUUGAUGAUUUUUAAACACGUAUAAUGUUUUAGACAUUAUUGUAAAAAUACCACAUCACCAAGCUGAUCAUAAUCAAAACCAAAGCAAACACCAUAUUUUAGACAUGGAUGCCUAUUGAUCACGAGUCCUCGACACUAAGCAAGAGAGCACUUGGGUAAAAUACUAGGAUCGACACCUCACCUCUGCUGAGAUGGAGUCGAGGUUCAAA
RNAcentral lists this long non-coding RNA (441 nucleotides) under Phoenix dactylifera (date palm). Its description in RNAcentral is "long non-coding RNA (PDAC_LNC007850)". Lineage: Eukaryota; Viridiplantae; Streptophyta; Magnoliopsida; Arecales; Arecaceae. The record is from RNAcentral.